Molecule: long non-coding RNA, 2959 nt
Organism: Gopherus flavomarginatus (Mexican gopher tortoise)
Lineage: Eukaryota; Metazoa; Chordata; Testudines; Testudinidae
Exons: 2
Source: RefSeq, a predicted model, not a curated record
UGGUUUGGGAUGUAAGUGGAGGAUGAGAUCAGUGUUAUGGGGUGAGGGGGUGGUUUGGGGUAUAAGUUAGUAGUAGGGGGAUGAGGGUCAGUAUUGUGGAGGUGGGAGGAGGUUUGAGGUAUAAGUUGGCAGUAAGGGGAUGAGGUCGCUUAUGGUGGAGUGGAAGAAGGGGAUAUUUGGGAGUACAAGUUAACUCUGGGAGGAUGAGCAUCAUUGUUAUGGGGGCGGGGUAGGAAAUAGCUGGGAUGAGUAAGAAGAGAAAUAAUUAUUAGUGGGGUGAGAGUCAGUGUUGUGAGCAGGCAGGGAAAGGUAAGGGCUGAAAUGACGGGGAUGGGAUUAGCCCUGGCUUUUUUGGGUAAAUUCAGGUGAAGAGUUGCCAUUGGUUGGAGAGGUUCGGGGUUGAGCUUGUUGAAAUCUUGCUGGAGAGAUAGUGAGGGUGGGUGCAUGCAGUAGCGGUGCUAAGCAUGCACAGACUAAGCAAUUGCUUAAGGCCCCUAGCAGGUCAUGGGGGUCCUGAUGUAGCAUAACCCCCCCCCCCAAAAUACCACUAAUCUUAUUUAACUUGGGAGUUUUGAACAAGCAUAUUAAUGUGUUGGUAUAUUAUUUGGUUUGUGGAAAUAAAAAAUACUUAUUGUAUUUGGGGGUGAGGGGUAAGGAGAGGGCCUCCAAUGGGCCAGCACUGCCUCUGGAUGCAUGGCCUAUCCUUGGGGCUGGUAUUUUUUUCUGUGAAACAUCAUGUUUUAUUGGCAUCUGUUUCAAAGAACCCCACCCCCAUGAAGUACUUUGGGGUAGUGGGUAUUUGCUUUCUCUCCCGCUUCCCUGCCCCCCCUUCCUUGAGGAAAGGAGGAGAAAAAUGGAGGAGGGAGAAGCGCAAAAAAAAAAAACAACCUUAAAAGUUAAUUUUUUAAAAUAAAAAUACUUGUGAAAAAUGUGGACUGAACAGAAAAUUGCACUUUUUAGAAACCUGCAGAAUGAAAGAUAUUUAAUUUUUUUCCAUAAAAUGACUUACCUGUUUUUCACCAGUCCUAGCUAAGAGCGAGCUGGGUGUGGUGUCAGGAUUGUUGAAUAGCAAUAUUAGAUUGGCAUGUAUGUGAGAAGGUAGCUUCAAUGUUUAGUGUUGUUUGGUGGCAGGGAUGCUUGUAGUAUGAGUGGAGGUGAGGCAGGUGCUGGGGGAGGAGAAACAAGCCAGGCCCCUGUUAAACCUGUUCCAAAGGAAGAAGGGUAUUAGUUGAACUGGCUGAGGGCCAGGCCCUAAGUACCAGAGUGGAUCCACCUGCAGGCCUGGGUAGCCAGCCUGCCCUAUAAAGCUGUAUGAGAAAGGAAGCAGGGAGCCAGGAGAGGCCAGGGCUUUCCAAGGCCCCGCUCCUGGCCAAGCCAGAUCAGGCAGGGAGCUGUGUACCCUCCACCUCCUUGGGGUGGGGGAGCCAAGAGCAGUCCCCAGCCUGUGUCCUCAUGCCACUGGCCCCUCUGUCCAGGGCAGGCGGAGGGUUUGUGGCUCCCCACAGCUGCGUGUGUGGCUCGCUUUGCCUGGGGAACGGGGCAUUGGAGUCACAACAUGGCAGGUGGAGGGUCCACAGCAUGGUGCCCUAUGCUACCUGGACUCCGUAGUCAGGCUUUAGCUGCCAGCCUGGCUUGGGCGGGGGGAGGCUCAUGGCAAAAAGUGGACAGUUGGGAGGGCCAUGGCCCCCUGACCCACUCCAUCACCCCCCAGUUCUGAUGUUCUUGGUGCGGCCACCAACUCUUGCUGGUGGCCUCUGACCAUUUUUCUUAAUCCUUAAUUAACGUUAGGAAAAACAAAUACAUAUGCACAUACACAUGUCCAAAUCAUUGUAAUUUAUUUAUGUAAGGAUGUUGAGUACUUUUUUGCAGAUUCGAAAAUAAUAUACAGUUGUCAAUUCUUUACUGGACCCAAACAGAAUAGAAACAAAUAAGAUGCUUUGAAUGUCUGUGUCUUUUUGUUGUUGUUUGGUUUUUUGUUUUUAAGGUCAUCUGGCCUGACAUUCUGCAUCACAAAUUCCUGUUUGAACUACAUCCAAUUAUCUUCAUUUAAAAAUAUCUAGGCAUAGAGAAUCCACCACAGCCUUUUGUAAGUUGUUUCAGUAGUUGCCAUCCAUUGUUAAAAUCUGCUCUUUAUUUCUAAUCUCCGUUUGUCUGGUUCCACUUCCAGCCCUUGCAUCUUGUUAUGCUUAUAUCUGCUAGACUAAAGAGCCCUCUGUGACACCCCAAUAUUCACCACUGUCAUGUAGUUAGAGUAUGUUUUGUACACAGUGUGCCUUGUGAAUUAUCAUUCUAAAAGUCUUGAUCUGCUAGACCGUAAUAUCUCGUUGGAUUGUUUGUGCUAUUGUCAUAUAUGAAGUUAUAAAAUUUGGCUAUGUAUUUGUUACUGAGACGUGUUGUGAGGUUGAAAACACCCAUAAGCAGCCUUUCAGGUACAACAGUAAAAAGGCCAAACAAUGACUUAUUGAGGAAAUGCAUACAAACACAAGGAUUAGCCCAAGAAUUGUGUACAAUAGAAAUCUCUCAGAGAUAGCACUACGUAAUGGAAACGGUUUGACCCACAUCACAGCAAAAGAGCUUUCCAGCAAGUGGAAAGAAGCUAUAAAAGGGGGGAAAUGACAUCAUCGUGGGACCUCACUCUCCCGACACCAACACACCUGAUGGGCGAGGACUGAACUGUGGGAAAUGAUGAUCCCAGGCUAGAGGGCUUUUUAGCCUGUGUAUGAAAACCUGAGAAAGCCAAGGCAACUUGUUUAUCCUUAAGAAUCUGCCAGCUUGUUUAUCACUCAGGGUUAGAAUUUGCUAAUUCAUAUCCUGCCUAUCUAGUGUAUUAAGCUCAGUUUGCAGUUUUAUUUCUUUACUAAGGUAAUCUGUUUUGAUCUGUUUGCUAUCACUUAUAAUCACUUAAAAAUCUAUCUUCUGUAGUUAAUAAAUUUGUUUUUGUUUUGUGUGGAAAUUAUAA